CUUGAUUAAAUAUAAGAGGUCCAGCCUGCCCAGUGACAUAGUUAAACGGCCGCGGUACCCUGACCGUGCGAAGGUAGCAUAAUCACUUGUUCCUUAAAUAGGGACUUGUAUGAACGGCAUCACGAGGGCUUUACUGUCUCCUUUCUCCAAUCAGUGAAACUGAUCUCCCCGUGAAGAAGCGGGGAUGAUAAUAUAAGACGAGAAGACCCCAUGGAGCUUUAAACCCAACGACACCCCUCAACUCCCCAACCCAUUUUAGUUGCUACAGUCCUGUUCGUUGGUUUUAGGUUGGGGUGACCGCGGAGUAUAGACUAACCUCCACGACGAAUGGGAUUACCCCCUUACCCAAGAGCUACUCCUCUAAGGAUCAAUAAAUUGACGUAAAAUGAUCCAAGCAUUUGAUCAACGGACCA
Molecule: ribosomal RNA, 413 nt
Filed under: Hoplobatrachus rugulosus (rugose frog)
Lineage: Eukaryota; Metazoa; Chordata; Amphibia; Anura; Dicroglossidae
Description: partial 16S ribosomal RNA
Rfam family: Bacterial large subunit ribosomal RNA
Source: RNAcentral